Molecule: transfer RNA, 67 nt
Filed under: Sphaerodactylus townsendi
Lineage: Eukaryota; Metazoa; Chordata; Lepidosauria; Squamata; Sphaerodactylidae
Description: tRNA-Ala
Source: RNAcentral
GCUGUGGCUAGUGGUAAAGCACUUGUUUGGCAUGCAGAAGGUACCAGGUUCGAUCCCUGCCAUUGCA